This 359-nucleotide unclassified non-coding RNA is filed under the name Hevea brasiliensis (rubber tree). Lineage: Eukaryota; Viridiplantae; Streptophyta; Magnoliopsida; Malpighiales; Euphorbiaceae. The record is from RNAcentral.
CCAGUGUCAGUUUACCCGUUUAUCAAGUCCAGUCGACUAGCAUAGGUUACUUGGGAAAUUAAAAUAAAUCUUAACAAAUUUUAAUCAAAUAAUUAACCUAAAAAGUGCUAGAUUAAUAAUACUACAAAUAAUUACCAGAAACUCAAUCUACAUAAAAUAUUAGCGUACAUUCCGCAUAUCCAUUUUAUUUUAGCUAUUUUAUUUUAUAUUGGCACCACUAAGCUAUAUUACUUAGCGCGUCACUGUUUGCCAUGCGUAAGUACUGGAGACACCGAUAAAGAGCCCAGCAAACCUCAGACUGGGUGAUCCUUCAGAUCUGCAGUGAGUCUAGAAUCACCUCCAAUUACAGUGCAUCUUUG